UACGUAUGGUGCAAGCGUUAUCCGGAUUUACUGGGCGUAAAGGGAGCGCAGGCGGCGCGCCAAGUCUGAUGUGAAACCCCGGGGCUCAACCCCGGGCAUGCAUUGGAAACUGGCGGGCUGGAGUGCCGGAGAGGUAAGCGGAAUUCCUAGUGUAGCGGUGAGAUGCGUAGAUAUUAGGAGGAACACCAGUGGCGAAGGCGGCUUACUGGACGGCAACUGACGCUGAGGCUCGAAAGCGUGGGGAGCAAACAGG
This 253-nucleotide ribosomal RNA is filed under the name uncultured bacterium. Its description in RNAcentral is "partial 16S ribosomal RNA". It matches the Rfam family "Bacterial small subunit ribosomal RNA", at positions 524 to 776 of the family's 1533-position model. The record is from RNAcentral.